UUGACUGAGGAAUUACUGUCUUACUCCUGUGCUUGUCAGGAGUCUGUGACACGAAUGUAAACUUUCCCAACUGUGAUUUCAGAUGCUUAAGAGGAAGAAAUGUUUUUGAGACAGACUCAUUCCAGAAAACCACCCUUCACCAUUGCUUAUGCUGCAUAAUGGCUCAGCUAGCUGUAACUUUGGUGCUCCGGUAACAGGUUUCAUUUAAAAAACGGAUAAAAUGCUUCAUCAGACUCAGCAGCGAGCAGAUGAGGAUGAGAACCCAUCACUUCGCAGUGUGGUGGGAUCAGACAGGGCUUCCCAGCCACAGAAAAGCAAGCAGAGCAAAGAGGGAAUUUUAUAGAUGAAACAUCACGAUUGCAGAACACAGAUGUGGACAGAUGUGGGAAAUAUGCCAACCCAACCUUGUGUAGCGCUAGUUUAAAAUAUGCAAUCUCUCUUACUUCAGAAAUUCAGUUGAUUAAACAUGCAGAACUUAUAAUCCAGAU
Molecule: long non-coding RNA, 488 nt
Filed under: Lepisosteus oculatus (spotted gar)
Lineage: Eukaryota; Metazoa; Chordata; Actinopteri; Semionotiformes; Lepisosteidae
Description: lncRNA (ENSLOCG00000021092.1)
Source: RNAcentral